Long non-coding RNA from Podarcis muralis (Common wall lizard), 354 nucleotides. RefSeq lists it as uncharacterized. The record is from RefSeq and is a predicted model, not a curated record. Lineage: Eukaryota; Metazoa; Chordata; Lepidosauria; Squamata; Lacertidae.
CAGCUGCCUGCCAGUGUACAAAACUGCCGAAGCCGCCAUCCUUGAAUCUUCUGAGGGGGGCGAAUUAAGAGGAGUCUUAUCCAGAUACCGCGAGAUCUGUGACGAAAUCCCCUGAAUGCCACGAGAGCUGCAAUGCAUCCUUAGUUAGAGUAGAACUGUGCAAGCAAGGACGUCUUAAUAAAAUUGCUCCUCGUUUCGGGGUUGAAGACUAUACGGAAAGCCAGCAAGUUAAAUGAUACAUAUUGGACUUCAAUGUGAAUUAAGUCUUUGUUUUGGUUUUUUUGUAAACUUUCGACAAAAUUGCAUAUUACAGCCACGUUAAUAAAACAACUAUUACUCUGUUUCCCAAGCUGA